AGUGAACGCUGGCGGUAGGCCUAACACAUGCAAGUCGAACGGCAGCACAGUAAGAGCUUGCUCUUACGGGUGGCGAGUGGCGGACGGGUGAGGAAUACAUCGGAAUCUACUUUUUCGUGGGGGAUAACGUAGGGAAACUUACGCUAAUACCGCAUACGACCUACGGGUGAAAGCAGGGGAUCUUCGGACCUUGCGCGAUUGAAUGAGCCGAUGUCGGAUUAGCUAGUUGGCGGGGUAAAGGCCCACCAAGGCGACGAUCCGUAGCUGGUCUGAGAGGAUGAUCAGCCACACUGGAACUGAGACACGGUCCAGACUCCUACGGGAGGCAGCAGUGGGGAAUAUUGGACAAUGGGCGCAAGCCUGAUACAGCCAUACCGCGUGGGUGAAGAAGGCCUUCGGGUUGUAAAGCCCUUUUGUUGGGAAAGAAAAGCAGCAGGUUAAUACCACGCUGUUCUGACGGUACCCAAAGAAUAAGCACCGGCUAACUUCGUG
RNAcentral lists this ribosomal RNA (492 nucleotides) under uncultured bacterium. Its description in RNAcentral is "partial 16S ribosomal RNA". It matches the Rfam family "Bacterial small subunit ribosomal RNA", at positions 29 to 507 of the family's 1533-position model. The record is from RNAcentral.